UUUUAAGAAGAUGUUCUCUGAAACUGUCCAGGGAACCAAUGGUGAUCAUUUCUAAUGCCACAAGUCCUGCUUUUGUCUCGUUUUCAUUUUUUUACUCUGUUUGUUUCGGUAUUCAUCACAACAUCUACAACAUUUAUUUCAUUGAUUGAUAUUAAUAUGCAUGGCUCUCCAGUAAAAUAUUUGUCUCUACCAUCAUACAUGUAAAUUUUUAGUACCAAUGCACUGUAAUACUUCAUGCAGCAUUUCAUAUUUUUUUAAAAAUACCAUACCAGGGGUCGUUUUCUUUUAUUUUUCAAGCAAUGCAUGUUCAAACUGAAAUAUGCUUGGUCUCACCAACCUGCAUGUUAAAAAAUGCCAUGUUCAAUCUACAUAUAAUUUUGUUUAGAAGGAACUGGAGGGGGGGGGGGGGGAUCACAAACGAGAGGUGAAUGGAUCUUUCAGAAAAAAAAAACAAAGGGGAGGAUCUCAAGCAGGCUAAUUCAACCCUAAGUACCACAGCUUGGUGAUUUGGGUUUCUGCUGCCCCUCCCAAAUGCUCUCCAUCCUUUGCUUUCUUUUGUUUUUUGGCAGGGGGCCAUCCAUGGCUUUCUUUUUUACGAAGAACACACUUGUUUGUGUGUUUUCCUGUUGUUUCUUCUUUGGAAAGGAUUCUCCCGUGAAUAGACGAGAGGGUGAUGUUUUAUUCCCACCAUUUUCUUUUUGCUGUGUUAAUGUUGUGCAAGUUGAGCUUUGGUUUGUUUGUACAUCAGCCCAAAAAAAUAACAGUAUUUUAUUCUCCAGUCAAAGUUUGUAAAAUAUAACACUCAAAAACGAAAAAAAAAAUGCUUGCCUCAAAGUUGGGCCGGCAACAACAACAGCCCAAAAGUCCUCAAACAUUGAAAAAAU
This 884-nucleotide long non-coding RNA is filed under the name Setaria viridis. RNAcentral describes it as "long non-coding RNA (SVIR_LNC008805)". The record is from RNAcentral. Lineage: Eukaryota; Viridiplantae; Streptophyta; Magnoliopsida; Poales; Poaceae.